GGACCUACGGGAGGCAGCAGUGGGGAAUAUUGGGCAAUGGGCGCAAGCCUGACCCAGCAACGCCGCGUGAAGGAAGAAGGCUUUCGGGUUGUAAACUUCUUUUGUCAGGGACGAAGCAAGUGACGGUACCUGACGAAUAAGCCCCGGCUAACUAUGUGCCAGCAGCCGCGGUAAUACAUAGGGGGCAAGCGUUAUCCGGAAUUAUUGGGUGUAAAGGGUGCGUAGACGGAAGAACAAGUUGGUUGUGAAAUCCCUCGGCUCAACUGAGGAACUGCAACCAAAACUAUUCUCCUUGAGUGUCGGAG
This 305-nucleotide ribosomal RNA is filed under the name uncultured bacterium. RNAcentral describes it as "bacterial SSU rRNA". It matches the Rfam family "Bacterial small subunit ribosomal RNA", at positions 333 to 654 of the family's 1533-position model. The record is from RNAcentral.